CUGUCAAGCUAUUAAAAAAAUUGCACUGUUAAACAAUAAUAGAAUACCAUUUAUAUAAAUAUUUUAGGAUGGAGCUAUCGGGGAAAAUGGGGUUGGUAUGAAUUGUAUUAAAAGGUUCCAAACUCUGUGUCAUAAUCCACAGACUUCCAUACCACAGGCUCUUCAGUCUCACCUACUGAACUAGAGGCUAAAGGCAAGGCUCCCUUUUCCCCAUUAUUAUGAUAUAAUCUAGGAUUUGCUAAGCCUUGUGACAGUUGCAUUUGCUUUCUGUAACCAGGGGUAAGCACAGCUGUCCGAGCUGCUCCCUGGAGAGGAAGCACACCAUAGGCACCAACUUUCCCCAGUGCCGGCUCAGGUUGGCCACCCCGCCUUAAGAGGUGCUUAGCCAGUGUCUCUAGUUACUGUUUCCUAGCAGGAGGUGACCCACUUCCUCUGAGCUCUUCAUCUAUCCAUUGCUGCUGCACUCCAUGCCCCACAGGGAUGUACUGAGGACAGGGUGUCUUCCCAGUCAACAUCGCUUCAAGUUCCAGCCAGUUGUUUCCUUCCUAGAUAGCUGUCCCUCCACCUGCUCAGUUUCUGCAAGAUAUUCCAGUGUCCAGGGGAAACACCAUAGUCCACCACCACAGGCAGACAGAGAGAAGACAAGAAGCUGGAAAAUGUCUCUGAAGGGCAAGUGGCAACUGGAGACUUGAUAACCUGUUUCAAGAGGUGGUCACAGUUACUAGCUAUUGCACACACUUGUCAUAGUCCACCAGUAAUAGAAAAGCCCUAGGAAAGACUUUAGAAAAAGCAAUACCGAAAAGCCUGUGUGCUGUGAAUAAUAAGCACAUCUGGAGAACAAGGCAGAAGGAAUAGGUACCUCUUAUGCAAUUUAGCCAAUUUACAUCAGAAUCUGACACUUUACAGAACAGUAAACAAUUAGCAAUUAGUAACAAUUAGUAAAGCACUUUGAA
Molecule: non-coding RNA, 953 nt
Organism: Chrysemys picta bellii (western painted turtle)
Lineage: Eukaryota; Metazoa; Chordata; Testudines; Emydidae
Source: RefSeq, a predicted model, not a curated record